CUGCGCUGCCCCCGGCGGCUCCCCCUCCAAGUCCAGGAGGCUGGCGGGGGAGGCGAUGGGCCGGAGCAAGCAGACCCAGGAAGGGCAUUGAGGCAAGGGUGCCUGCAGGGAGCCGGAAGGAGAGAGCCGGGCUCCGGGGUGCAACCGCUCCCCAGGGCUUCCCACAGCUCUUUGCCCUGCCUCGUCUAUUUCCAAAGUCAUUCCCUGUGUACUCUCAAGUCCUCAUGUCACUCAUUCAGCAAGCACGUGCAGACCAGAAAUGUCAUCAGAGCACCGCCCUGGCCUGAGUGGCGGCUCCUCCUACAUCCUCUCCCGCUCCGCCUCCCCCCACAGCUCUUUCCUCCUUCUGCCUCCCUGGUGGAGCCCGCUGCUCCUCAGCCUUCCCUCCAGAGACUCAAAUUCUGCCGCUCUUUCCUUCACAGCCCCUCCCACCAAAACCCCACACCGGCGCGGCGCGGAGACCAGGUGGCCUCUCCCCUAGAGAAUAAGCACGCACUUGGAUAGAGAGAAAUGAGACCGAGCGCUGGCUGCAGGUCCUGCUCCGUCGCUCCCCAGCUAGGGACUCCCUGUCUCUUCACACUGGAUCCCAGGGGGCUUAUUCCAGGGACCAAGAGAAGCCAACCUCUAGCCUUGGGCUGCCACACAGAGUGGCUUGACAUGAUGCCUCGAAUGCAUAAGAAAGCCUUGCUUUUUCCCAUGUCUUCUGUUCUGUGACAAGCUCAGGUGAGAACAGGAGGCUGGGCUGCGGUGGCGCAACUGGUUAAGCUGCCUCUUGAGACACCCCCUCCUGCACUGGGGCGCGAGUUCAAGUCCCGGAUGCACCACCUCUGAUCUGGCUUCCUGCUAUGCACCCAGGGAGGCAGCAGGGGAUGACCCAAGUGCUUGGGCCGCUGGAUGCCCACUCGGGAGACCUGGCUUCUGGCUCCUGGCUUCAGCCUGGCCCAGCGCUGGCUAUUGUGGGCACUUGAGGAGGGAACUAGUGGCUGGAAGAUCAAGCUCUCUCUCUCUCCCUUUCUCUCUCUGCCUUUCAAGUAGGUAAAAAUAAAUGAACUUUAAAAAAAAAGUCA
Molecule: long non-coding RNA, 1067 nt
Filed under: Oryctolagus cuniculus (rabbit)
Lineage: Eukaryota; Metazoa; Chordata; Mammalia; Lagomorpha; Leporidae
Description: lncRNA (ENSOCUG00000032167.1)
Source: RNAcentral